ACCCUCCGGUUCCCUCUGCCAUCAGAUCUAGUUGCUGGUCUUGGUGGUUGCAAAGCAGGAAGAUUACAAUGAAGCUGUCCUCACUGAGAUGUGAUUUGGUACAGAGCUUGUGGGUCAGGUUCAAGCAGGC
This 130-nucleotide small nucleolar RNA is filed under the name Microtus ochrogaster (prairie vole). RNAcentral describes it as "Small nucleolar RNA SNORA61 (ENSMOCG00000011412.1)". It matches the Rfam family "Small nucleolar RNA SNORA61". From Rfam's summary of the family: ACA61 is a member of the H/ACA class of snoRNA that guide the sites of modification of uridines to pseudouridines. Lineage: Eukaryota; Metazoa; Chordata; Mammalia; Rodentia; Cricetidae. The record is from RNAcentral.